UAGAGGAAGUAAAAGUCGUAACAAGGUUUCCGUAGGUGAACCUGCGGAAGGAUCAUUAAAAGACGAGCGGGUAACCGCGAAGUCCAUAACCCCUUUGUCUACUUAUAUUGUUGCUUCAGCGGGCCGCUGGCCUCGUCAGCGCCGGCUUCGGCCGGACCGUGCCCGCUAGAGGACUCCAAACUCUGAAUGUUAGUGUCGUCUGAGUACUAUAUAAUAGUUAAAACUUUCAACAACGGAUCUCUUGGUUCUGGCAUCGAUGAAGAACGCAGCGAAAUGCGAUAAGUAAUGUGAAUUGCAGAAUUCAGUGAAUCAUCGAAUCUUUGAACGCACAUUGCGCCCCGUGGUAUUCCGCGGGGCAUGCCUGUUCGAGCGUCAUUAUCACCACUCCAGCCUGGCUGGGUCUUGGGCACCGCCGGUAGGCGGGCCUUAAACGUAGUGGCGGUGCUGCCAGGCUCUAAGCGUAGUAAUUCUCUCGCUAUAGGGUCCUGGGAGAGGCUGGCCAUAACCCCCAAUUUUUACAGGUUGACCUCGGAUCAGGUAGGGAUACCCGCUGAACUUAAGCAUAUCAAUAAGCGGAGGA
This 580-nucleotide ribosomal RNA is filed under the name Chlorovibrissea albofusca. RNAcentral describes it as "eukaryotic LSU rRNA". The stretch from base 222 to 375 matches the Rfam family "5.8S ribosomal RNA". Lineage: Eukaryota; Fungi; Ascomycota; Leotiomycetes; Helotiales; Vibrisseaceae. The record is from RNAcentral.